RNAcentral lists this ribosomal RNA (305 nucleotides) under uncultured bacterium. RNAcentral's name for it is "bacterial SSU rRNA". It matches the Rfam family "Bacterial small subunit ribosomal RNA", at positions 335 to 656 of the family's 1533-position model. The record is from RNAcentral.
UUGCCUACGGGGCGCAGCAGUGGGGAAUAUUGCACAAUGGGGGAAACCCUGAUGCAGCGACGCCGCGUGAGUGAAGAAGUAUCUCGGUAUGUAAAGCUCUAUCAGCAGGAACGAGACAAGACGGUACCUGACUAAGAAGCCCCGGCUAACUACGUGCCAGCAGCCGCGGUAAUACGUAGGGGGCAAGCGUUAUCCGGAAUUACUGGGUGUAAAGGGAGCGUAGACGGUUAAGUAAGUCUGGAGUGUAAGGCCGGGGCCCAACCCCGGGACUGCUCUGGAAACUAUUGAACUUGAGUGCAGGAGAG